ACUACGGGAGGCAGCAGUGGGGGAUAUUGCACAAUGGGGGGAACCCUGAUGCAGCGACGCCGCGUGGGUGAAGAAGCGCCUCGGCGCGUAAAGCCCUGUCAGCAGGGAAGAAAAUGACGGUACCUGAAGAAGAAGCCCCGGCUAACUACGUGCCAGCAGCCGCGGUAAUACGUAGGGGGCAAGCGUUAUCCGGAUUUACUGGGUGUAAAGGGGGCGCAGACGGCGAUGCAAGCCAGGAGUGACAGCCCGGGGCCCAACCCCGGGACUGCUCUUGGAACUGCGUGGCUGGAGUGCAGGAGGGGCAGGCGGAAUUCCUGGUGUAGCGGUGAAAUGCGUAGAUAUCAGGAGGAACACCGGUGGCGAAGGCGGCCUGCUGGACUGCAACUGACGUUGAGGCCCGAAAGCGUGGGGAGCAAACAGGAUUAGAUACCCGAGUAGUC
This 440-nucleotide ribosomal RNA is filed under the name uncultured bacterium. RNAcentral's name for it is "partial 16S ribosomal RNA". It matches the Rfam family "Bacterial small subunit ribosomal RNA", at positions 338 to 795 of the family's 1533-position model. The record is from RNAcentral.